RNAcentral lists this long non-coding RNA (648 nucleotides) under Homo sapiens (human). RNAcentral's name for it is "HSALNT0301726". Lineage: Eukaryota; Metazoa; Chordata; Mammalia; Primates; Hominidae. The record is from RNAcentral.
CUAUCCACUACCUCAUUUUCAAUUUGUUUAUUCACUUAUUUAUUCAAAAAAUGCUUGUUGAACGUUUAUACGCAUUAAGAAGUGGUUGUUGAACAUUCACUACGCAUUAAGUAGCAGAUAUACAGAUGGAAACAUGGCAUCCUUGGCCUCAAGCUAUGCUGUUUAAAGUAGAAAUUGGAAGACCCAUGAACAAGCCUUCCCUCUGACUGUGAAAAGUGGUAUAGGGGAAUUCAGUAUAAGUUCUGUGGAGAUCCUCAACAGGAGGACACCUAUGUCUUUCUGGGCCAUCAGAGAAGCCUUCAGAGAGGAAUGAACUUCUGUGGAUCCUUCUUCACAGUUUCAGAUUUUACUUUCUACUCUUGUCAGUCAUAUCUGCAAGGCUGACAGUUACCAGGGGCUGUGGCCAGGCAUGAGGGAGAAUGUGUCAUUGCUGGCUGCGUUGGUCAUAGCAACGUGUCUGCCUCAGAACAGAUCCAGCAUGGAUGAGCAAACAGAAAAAUGUGUAAGAAGGCUUGUGACUGAAACAGACCAAGGGUUAGACUUCUCCUAUGGAGAAUGCAGCAAGAAAAUACCAUCUUGAAGCAGAGAGCAGCGCUCAUCAGGCAUCAGUCCUUCUGGAGCCUUGAUCUUGGACCUCCCAGCUCCAAA